GUGCUUGCUUCAGCAGCACAUAUACUAAAAUUGGAAUGAUACAGAGAAGAUUUGCAUGGCCCCUGUGCAAGGAUGACACCCAAAUUCGUGAAGCAUUCCAUAUAUUU
Otolemur garnettii (small-eared galago) is the source of this 107-nucleotide small nuclear RNA. The record is from Ensembl. NCBI's taxonomy places the organism in Eukaryota, Metazoa, Chordata, Mammalia, Primates, Galagidae.